RNAcentral lists this long non-coding RNA (3047 nucleotides) under Salmo salar (Atlantic salmon). RNAcentral describes it as "lncRNA (ENSSSAG00000101288.1)". The record is from RNAcentral. Lineage: Eukaryota; Metazoa; Chordata; Actinopteri; Salmoniformes; Salmonidae.
GUAUCCCCAUUUCCCUUUCCAACUGACUAGGUAUCCCCCUUUCCCUUUCCAAAUGACUAGGUAUCCCCAUUUCCCUUUCCAACUGACUAGGUAUCCCCAUUUCCCUUUCCAACUGACUAGGUAUCCCCCUUUCCCUUUCCAACUGACUAGGUAUCCCCCCUUUCCCUUUCCAACUGUCUAGGUAUCCCCAUUUCCCUUUCCAACUGACUAGGUAUCCCCCAUUUCCCUUUCCAACUGACUAGGUAUCCCCAUUUCCCUUUCCCAAUAACUGGAAGCAUGUAACUGUAUUUCCUAGAAGGUUGUUGUCUUGGGCACCUGGAGGUUCAGCAGUGUGACCCAAUCAGCAAUUUCCCUGUAUGUAUCCAGUGAAAAGGAUGUGUCUUCUCAGGUUUUGGCCUGCCAUAUGAGUUCUGUUAUACUCACAGACACCAUUCAAACAGUUUUAGAAACUUCAGAGUGUUUUCUAUCCAAAUCUACUAAUAAUAUGCAAAUAUCUGACUCUGGGCCCGAGUAUUAGGCUGUUUACUCUGGGCACGCUUUUCAUCCGAAAUCGAAAAUACUGCCCCCUAUACCUUGACAGGUUAAACAGCAAGUGGUGGUUCUUCUAUCAGUCACGACAGCUCCACCUGCUGGCAGGUUUGGAAAAGCUCCAUGAGUUUAGAUCCACUCACCGUCCAUUUCUUUUGGCUCCAUCCUCCCGUUUCUUCUGGCACACUGUCAGAGGUUGAUCUCUUGCUGGAGGCGGAGUUCGCAAGGCACAAAAUCAAGAUCAUCAAUGACCUCAGGCACCCCGAGCCACGGCCUGUUCACCCCUCUACCAUCUAGAAGAUCAUCAAGGACCUCAGCCACCCCGAGCCACGGCCUGUUCACCCUGCUACCAUCUAGAAGAUCAUCAAGGACCUCAGCCACCCGAGCCACGGCCUGUUCACCCCUCUACCAUCUAGAAGAUCAUCAAGGACCUCAGCCACCCCGAGCCACAGCCUGUUCACCCCGCUACCAUCUAGAAGAUCAUCAAGGACCUCAGCCACCCCGAGCCACAGCCUGUUCACCCCGCUACCAUCUAGAAGAUCAUCAAGGACCUCAGCCACCCCGAGCCACAGCCUGUUCACCCCGCUACCAUCUAGAAGAUCAUCAAGGACCUCAGCCACCCCGAGCCACAGCCUGUUCACCCCUCUACCAUCUAGAAGAUCAUCAAGGACCUCAGCCACCCCGAGCCACAGUCUGUUCACCCCUCUACCAUCUAGAAGAUCAUCAAGGACCUCAGCCACCCCAAGCCACAGCCUGUUCACCCCGCUACCAUCUAGAAGAUAAUCAAGGACCUCAGCCACCCCGAGCCACAGCCUGUUCACCCCUCUACCAUCUAGAAGAUCAUCAAGGACCUCAGCCACCCCGAGCCACAGCCUGUUCACCCCUCUACCAUCUAGAAGAUCAUCAAGGACCUCAGCCACCCGAGCCACGGCCUGUUCACCCUGCUACCAUCUAGAAGAUCAUCAAGGACCUCAGCCACCCGAGCCACGGCCUGUUCACCCCUCUACCAUCUAGAAGGAGGAGACAGUACAAUAACAUCAAAGCUGGGACAGAGAGACUGAAAAACAUUUUCUACCUCAAGGCCAUCAGACUGUUAAAUAGUCACCAUUAGCCAGCCUCCACCCAGUACCCUGCCAUGAACUUUAGUCCCUGUUAACAGUCGGCUACCACCUGGUACUCUACCCUGCACCUUAGAGACUGCUGCCCUAUGAGUCAUUGAACAAUGGUCACUUUAAUCAUGUUUACAUACUGUUUUACCCACUUCACAUAUACGCUGCCGGACAAAAGUUUUAGAACACCUACUCAUUCAAGGGUUUUUCAUUAUUUUUAAACUAUUUUCUACAUUGUAGAAUAAUAGUGAAGACAUCAAACCUAUGAAAUAACACAGAUGGAAUCAUGUAGUAACCCAAAAAAGUGUUAAACAAAUCAAAAUAUAUUUUAGAUUCUUUUGAAGUAGCCACCCUUUGUCUUGAUGACAGCUUUGCACACACUUUUACAGUGAUGAGUGGACACAUUUAUCAUAUGGGAGGUCCUGGUAAUUGAACCCACUACCCUAGUGAUACCAAUGCCAUGCUCUACCAACUGAGAUACUGGACAAAGGACCAACAUUAAAACAUGUGAUUUUACAUUUGAUUACAAGGAUUUGGGAUCCUUGGCAAAUCUCUGGGAUCGCAGAUAAAUUAUAUAGUUGUAGGCUCUGAUCAAGUCGUCGUAGGUUGCAUUAAAAUGAGCAGGUCAAAGACUUUCAUUUUCAAGCCAAUGGGCGCGUUCAAGAGCGAAUGACAUGGCUUGUGGUGCUGGUGAGGGCGUGGUAGGAGGGUUGGCCCCUGACAGCACCACAGGGUGCCAAUAAUUUUGAUACCUGUCUUGUUAACCUGUUGGGGAUAGGGGGCAGUAUUUGCACGGCCGGAUAAAAACGUACCCGAUUUAAUCUGGUUACUACUCCUGCCCAGUAACUAGAAUAUGCAUAUAAUUAUUGGCUUUGGAUAGAAAACACCCUAAAGUUUCUAAAACUGAAUGGUGUCUGUGAGUAUAACAGACCUCAUAUGGCAGGCAAAAACCUGAGAAGAUUCCUUACAGGAAAUGGCCUGUCUGACCAUUCCUUGAGCUUCUUGACUCUGUUUAUUGAAGACUGAGGAUCUUUGCCGUAACGUGACACUUCCUACGGCUCCCAUGGGCUCUCAGAAGGCGGGAAAAAGCUGAACGAUGUAAUUCCAGCCCCAGGCUGAAACACAUUUAGCGCGUUUGGAUGGUGGUCGAUCAGAGGGACAUCAGACUGAGGCUCGUGCACGAGGGGAUCCCAUGCUUUUACUUUCUCUCUCUUUGUACUAAAAGACGAUUUUCCCGGCCGGAAUAUUAUCGCUUUUUUUAUGAGAAAAAUGGCAUAAAAAUUGAUGUUUAAACAGCGGUUGACAUGCUUCGAAGUACGGUAAUGGAAUAUUUAGACAUUUUUUUUUGUCACGAAACGCGUCGUGCUCAUCACCCUUAUUUACCCUUUCGGAUAGUGUCUUGAACGCACG